UAUUGGGCAAUGCCCGCAAGGGUGACCCAGCAACGCCGCGUGGAGGAUGAAUGUCGUAAGAUUGUAAACUCCUGUUAGAGGGGACGAAUGAAUCCGAUUAGAUCGGAUUUUGACGGUACCCUCAGAGAAAGCCCCGGCUAACUACGUGCCAGCAGCCGCGGUAAUACGUAGGGGGCAAGCGUUGUCCGGAUUUACUGGGUGUAAAGGGCGCGCAGGUGGGUUAGCAAGUCAGAGGUGAAAUCCUACAGCUUAACUGUAGAACUGCCUUUGAAACUGUUAAUCUUGAGUACGGAAGAGAGAGGCGGAAUUCCAGGUGUAGUGGUGAAAUACGUAGAUAUCUGGAAGAACACCAGUUGCGAAGGCGGUCUCUUGGUCCGUUACUGACACUCAGGCGCGAAAGCGUGGGGAGCAAACAGG
Molecule: ribosomal RNA, 417 nt
Filed under: uncultured bacterium
Lineage: Bacteria
Description: bacterial SSU rRNA
Rfam family: Bacterial small subunit ribosomal RNA
Source: RNAcentral